RNAcentral lists this ribosomal RNA (355 nucleotides) under uncultured bacterium. RNAcentral's name for it is "bacterial SSU rRNA". It matches the Rfam family "Bacterial small subunit ribosomal RNA", at positions 527 to 881 of the family's 1533-position model. The record is from RNAcentral.
GUAGGUGGCAAGCGUUGUCCGGAAUUAUUGGGCGUAAAGAGCAUGUAGGCGGCCUAUUAAGUCGGGCGUGAAAAUGCGGGGCUCAACCCCGUAUGGCGCCCGAUACUGGUGGGCUUGAGUGCAGGAGAGGAAAGGGGAAUUCCCAGUGUAGCGGUGAAAUGCGUAGAUAUUGGGAGGAACACCAGUGGCGAAGGCGCCUUUCUGGACUGUGUCUGACGCUGAGAUGCGAAAGCCAGGGGAGCGAACGGGAUUAGAUACCCCGGUAGUCCUGGCCGUAAACGAUGGGUACUAGGUGUAGGAGGUAUCGACCCCUUCUGUGCCGGAGUUAACGCAAUAAGUACCCCGCCUGGGGAGU